GGGUUGUGAGGUUAAGCGACUAAGCGUACACGGUGGAUGCCCUGGCAGUCAGAGGCGAUGAAGGACGUGCUAAUCUGCGAAAAGCGCCGGCGAGGUGAUAUGAACCUUUGACCCGGCGAUGUCCGAAUGGGGAAACCCAGUGCAAUUCGUUGCACUAUCGUUAACUGAAUACAUAGGUUAACGAGGCGAACCGGGGGAACUGAAACAUCUAAGUACCCCGAGGAAAAGAAAUCAACCGAGAUUCCCCCAGUAGCGGCGAGCGAACGGGGAGCAGCCCAGAGUCUGAAUCAGCGUGUGUGUUAGUGGAACGGUCUGGAAAGUCCGGCGAUACAGGGUGACAGCCCCGUACACGAAAGCACACAUGCUGUGAACUCGAAGAGUAGGGCGGGACACGUGGUAUCCUGUCUGAAUAUGGGGGGACCAUCCUCCAAGGCUAAAUACUCCUGACUGACCGAUAGUGAACCAGUACCGUGAGGGAAAGGCGAAAAGAACCCCGGCGAGGGGAGUGAAAAAGAACCUGAAACCGUGUACGUACAAGCAGUGGGAGCACCCUUUGGGGUGUGACUGCGUACCUUUUGUAUAAUGGGUCAGCGACUUAUAUUCUGUAGCAAGGUUAACCGCAUAGGGGAGCCGAAGGGAAACCGAGUCUUAACUGGGCGUUAAGUUGCAGGGUAUAGACCCGAAACCCGGUGAUCUAGCCAUGGGCAGGUUGAAGGUUGGGUAACACUAACUGGAGGACCGAACCGACUAAUGUUGAAAAAUUAGCGGAUGACCUGUGGCUGGGGGUGAAAGGCCAAUCAAACCGGGAGAUAGCUGGUUCUCCCCGAAAGCUAUUUAGGUAGCGCCUCGUGAACUCAUCUUCGGGGGUAGAGCACUGUUUCGGCUAGGGGGUCAUCCCGACUUACCAACCCGAUGCAAACUGCGAAUACCGAAGAAUGUUAUCACGGGAGACACACGGCGGGUGCUAACGUCCGUCGUGAAGAGGGAAACAACCCAGACCGCCAGCUAAGGUCCCAAAGUCAUGGUUAAGUGGGAAACGAUGUGGGAAGGCCCAGACAGCCAGGAUGUUGGCUUAGAAGCAGCCAUCAUUUAAAGAAAGCGUAAUAGCUCACUGGUCGAGUCGGCCUGCGCGGAAGAUGUAACGGGGCUAAACCAUGCACCGAAGCUGCGGCAGCGA
RNAcentral lists this ribosomal RNA (1177 nucleotides) under Pluralibacter gergoviae. RNAcentral describes it as "bacterial LSU rRNA". It matches the Rfam family "Bacterial large subunit ribosomal RNA", at positions 1 to 1211 of the family's 2925-position model. The record is from RNAcentral. Lineage: Bacteria; Pseudomonadati; Pseudomonadota; Gammaproteobacteria; Enterobacterales; Enterobacteriaceae.